This 110-nucleotide small nuclear RNA is filed under the name Crocodylus porosus (Australian saltwater crocodile). Its description in RNAcentral is "U4 spliceosomal RNA (ENSCPRG00005014646.1)". The stretch from base 1 to 81 matches the Rfam family "U4 spliceosomal RNA". Rfam says of the family: U4 small nuclear RNA (U4 snRNA) is a component of the major U2-dependent spliceosome. The record is from RNAcentral. Lineage: Eukaryota; Metazoa; Chordata; Crocodylia; Crocodylidae.
GUAGGAGUGGAGUGGCAGUAUCGUAGCCAAUGAGGUUAAUCCAAGGCGCGAUUAUUGCUAAUUGAAAUUUUUUUCUGUCAUGGUCAAAAUAACUUGACCUUGUCCAUCAA